RNAcentral lists this ribosomal RNA (513 nucleotides) under uncultured bacterium. Its description in RNAcentral is "bacterial SSU rRNA". It matches the Rfam family "Bacterial small subunit ribosomal RNA", at positions 34 to 518 of the family's 1533-position model. The record is from RNAcentral.
CGCUGGCGGCGUGCCUAAUACAUGCAAGUCGAACGGUCUUUCUAUGGAAGCUUGCUUCCACUGAGAAGAUAGUGGCGAACGGGUGAGUAACACGUGGGUAACCUGCCCAUAAGAGGGGGGAUAACAUCCGGAAACGGGUGCUAAUACCGCAUAGUUUUCUUGAUCGCAUGAUCGGGAAAGGAAAGACGGCCUUUGUGCUGUCGCUUAUGGAUGGACCCGCGGCGUAUUAGUUAGUUGGUGAGGUAACGGCUCACCAAGACGAUGAUACGUAGCCGACCUGAGAGGGUGAUCGGCCACAUUGGGACUGAGACACGGCCCAAACUCCUACGGGAGGCAGCAGUAGGGAAUCUUCCGCAAUGGACGAAAGUCUGACGGAGCAACGCCGCGUGAGUGAAGAAAGGGUUUUCGGAUCGUAAAACUCUGUUGUCAGAGAAGAACAAGUUGGAGAGUAACUGCUCCAGCCUUGACGGUAUCUGACCAGAAAGCCACGGCUAACUACGUGCCAGCCGCCGC